Molecule: ribosomal RNA, 1437 nt
Filed under: uncultured organism
Description: 16S ribosomal RNA
Rfam family: Bacterial small subunit ribosomal RNA
Source: RNAcentral
CUUAACACAUGCAAGUCGAGGGGCAUCAGGAAGAAAGCUUGCUUUCUUUGCUGGCGACCGGCGCACGGGUGAGUAACACGUAUCCAACCUGCCCUUUACUCGGGGAUAGCCUUUCGAAAGAAAGAUUAAUACCCGAUAGCAUAAUGAUUCCGCAUGGUUUCAUUAUUAAAGGAUUCCGGUAAAGGAUGGGGAUGCGUUCCAUUAGGUUGUUGGUGAGGUAACGGCCCACCAAGCCUUCGAUGGAUAGGGGUUCUGAGAGGAAGGUCCCCCACAUUGGAACUGAGACACGGUCCAAACUCCUACGGGAGGCAGCAGUGAGGAAUAUUGGUCAAUGGGCGCUAGCCUGAACCAGCCAAGUAGCGUGAAGGAUGAAGGCUCUAUGGGUCGUAAACUUCUUUUAUAUAAGAAUAAAGUGCAGUAUGUAUACUGUUUUGUAUGUAUUAUAUGAAUAAGGAUCGGCUAACUCCGUGCCAGCAGCCGCGGUAAUACGGAGGAUCCGAGCGUUAUCCGGAUUUAUUGGGUUUAAAGGGAGCGUAGGUGGACUGGUAAGUCAGUUGUGAAAGUUUGCGGCUCAACCGUAAAAUUGCAGUUGAUACUGUCAGUCUUGAGUACAGUAGAGGUGGGCGGAAUUCGUGGUGUAGCGGUGAAAUGCUUAGAUAUCACGAAGAACUCCGAUUGCGAAGGCAGCUCACUGGACUGCAACUGACACUGAUGCUCGAAAGUGUGGGUAUCAAACAGGAUUAGAUACCCUGGUAGUCCACACAGUAAACGAUGAAUACUCGCUGUUUGCGAUAUACAGUAAGCGGCCAAGCGAAAGCAUUAAGUAUUCCACCUGGGGAGUACGCCGGCAACGGUGAAACUCAAAGGAAUUGACGGGGGCCCGCACAAGCGGAGGAACAUGUGGUUUAAUUCGAUGAUACGCGAGGAACCUUACCCGGGCUUAAAUUGCAGUGGAAUGAUGUGGAAACAUGUCAGUGAGCAAUCACCGCUGUGAAGGUGCUGCAUGGUUGUCGUCAGCUCGUGCCGUGAGGUGUCGGCUUAAGUGCCAUAACGAGCGCAACCCUUAUCUUCAGUUACUAACAGGUUAUGCUGAGGACUCUGGAGAGACUGCCGUCGUAAGAUGUGAGGAAGGUGGGGAUGACGUCAAAUCAGCACGGCCCUUACGUCCGGGGCUACACACGUGUUACAAUGGGGGGUACAGAAGGCAGCUACCUGGUGACAGGAUGCUAAUCCCAAAAGCCUCUCUCAGUUCGGAUCGAAGUCUGCAACCCGACUUCGUGAAGCUGGAUUCGCUAGUAAUCGCGCAUCAGCCACGGCGCGGUGAAUACGUUCCCGGGCCUUGUACACACCGCCCGUCAAGCCAUGGGAGCCGGGGGUACCUGAAGUACGUAACCGCAAGGAUCGUCCUAGGGUAAAACUGGUGACUGGGGCUAAGUC